UAACAAGCAUUCAAUGAAUCGUUGUCCAAU
RNAcentral lists this non-coding RNA (30 nucleotides) under Rattus norvegicus (Norway rat). Lineage: Eukaryota; Metazoa; Chordata; Mammalia; Rodentia; Muridae. The record is from RNAcentral.